Erinaceus europaeus (western European hedgehog) is the source of this 130-nucleotide small nucleolar RNA. The record is from Ensembl. NCBI's taxonomy places the organism in Eukaryota, Metazoa, Chordata, Mammalia, Eulipotyphla, Erinaceidae.
CAGGUGCCCUAAGAAUUAUCAAGAUAAACAACUUCUCUGCUUGUCACUACACCUCCUUAGAACAAACUGCCCUUCGGUGACAGGGACAAAUUGAGAGAAAUCGUAACAGACAGAUACAGGCCAGACAGUU